RNAcentral lists this ribosomal RNA (497 nucleotides) under uncultured bacterium. RNAcentral's name for it is "partial 16S ribosomal RNA". It matches the Rfam family "Bacterial small subunit ribosomal RNA", at positions 28 to 507 of the family's 1533-position model. The record is from RNAcentral.
GAUGAACGCUGGCGGCGUGCCUAAUACAUGCAAGUCGAGCGAACGGACGAGAAGCUUGCUUCUCUGAUGUUAGCGGCGGACGGGUGAGUAACACGUGGAUAACCUACCUAUAAGACUGGGAUAACUUCGGGAAACCGUAGCUAAUACCGGAUAAUAUUUUGAACCGCAUGGUUCAAAAGUGAAAGACGGUCUUGCUGUCACUUAUAGAUGGAUCCGCGCUGCAUUAGCUAGUUGGUAAGGUAACGGCUUACCAAGGCAACGAUGCAUAGCCGACCUGAGAGGGUGAUCGGCCACACUGGAACUGAGACACGGUCCAGACUCCUACGGGAGGCAGCAGUAGGGAAUCUUCCGCAAUGGGCGAAAGCCUGACGGAGCAACGCCGCGUGAGUGAUGAAGGACUUCGGAUCGUAAAACUCUGUUAUUAGGGAAGAACAUAUGUGUACGUAACUGUGCACAUCUUGACGGUACCUAAUCAGAAAGCCACGGCUAACUACGUG